AGCGAACGCUGGCGGCAUGCCUAACACAUGCAAGUCGCACGGGGGGGCUUCGGCCUCCCAGUGGCGGACGGGUGAGGAACGCGUAGGGACCUGUCGAGGGGUGGGGGAUAACCGCGGGAAACUGCGGCUAAUACCGCAUGACGCCGCGGCGUGACAGCCGGGGCCAAAGGCGAAAGCCGCCCGCCGAGGGGCCUGCGUCCGAUUAGCUGGUUGGCGGGGUAGCGGCCCACCAAGGCGUCGAUCGGUAGCUGGUCUGAGAGGGUGAUCAGCCACACCGGGACUGAGACACGGCCCGGACUCCUACGGGAGGUAGCAGUGGGGAAUAUUGGACAAUGGGCGCAAGCCUGAUCCAGCAAUGCCGCGUGGGUGAAGAAGGUCUUCGGAUUGUAAAGCCCUUUCGGCGGGGACGAUGGUGACGGUACCCGCAGAAGAAGCCCCGGCUAACUUCGUG
RNAcentral lists this ribosomal RNA (451 nucleotides) under uncultured bacterium. RNAcentral's name for it is "partial 16S ribosomal RNA". It matches the Rfam family "Bacterial small subunit ribosomal RNA", at positions 28 to 507 of the family's 1533-position model. The record is from RNAcentral.